This 60-nucleotide transfer RNA is filed under the name Entosthodon bonplandii. RNAcentral describes it as "partial tRNA-Phe". It matches the Rfam family "tRNA", at positions 1 to 53 of the family's 71-position model. Rfam says of the family: Transfer RNA (tRNA) molecules are approximately 80 nucleotides in length. The record is from RNAcentral. Lineage: Eukaryota; Viridiplantae; Streptophyta; Bryopsida; Funariales; Funariaceae.
AACAAGCCGGGAUAGCUCAGUUGGUAGAGCAGAGGACUGAAAAUCCUCGUGUCACCAGUU